Molecule: long non-coding RNA, 442 nt
Filed under: Rattus norvegicus (Norway rat)
Lineage: Eukaryota; Metazoa; Chordata; Mammalia; Rodentia; Muridae
Description: long non-coding RNA NONRATT016088
Source: RNAcentral
GGAGACAGUAUUAGAAUCCAUCCAGAAAAACAUCCACUCCUCAUCACACAUCUUCAAGCUUGCCCAAGAUGCAUUUAAAAUAGCAACUCUCAUGGACAGUCUGCCAGACAUCACUCUUUUGAAAGUGUCUCUGGAGCUGGGCCUGCAGGUACUGCUGGUCCUUCUUGGGCACCAAAGCUUGCUGCUAAGCAGCCUCACAGGGCUGUUUUCAUCUUAGCUUUUUAGUGACUCAUUAGAGCCCAAGUGUGUUGGACUUUUUGACAGCACCACCUUUCAGAGCUCUGGUCACUUCAGCUCAGCCAGUUUUAGUCCCAGCUAAGGCAACCUCACAGUUAGAAUCCUUAUGUGUGUUCCUCAACCUUAAAAGCAUUUUUUUCCUGACUUACAGCUUUAAGAUUUCUAUUUCUUUUGUGAACGAGUGGAAAGUUAGCUCCAACCAGAG